RNAcentral lists this long non-coding RNA (269 nucleotides) under Lathyrus oleraceus (garden pea). RNAcentral describes it as "Pisum sativum (pea) long non-coding RNA (PSAT_LNC003460)". The record is from RNAcentral. Lineage: Eukaryota; Viridiplantae; Streptophyta; Magnoliopsida; Fabales; Fabaceae.
UUGGAGAAAGGUAGAGUUUUAUGGAGAAAAUAUUCAAGUUUGAAACACAUUGAUUCCUUAAACCAUUUAUGAGGAUAAUAUUUAGAUAAAUUCAAUACCUGCUGCUAAUAAACUUAUCUGGGGCAUGGUUUGUAGCAAGAGUUAAAACCAAUAAUGAGUUUGAUUUUAACACAUGGUGUUCCAAUCUUGUGAGAUGUUUGCAAAGUGUGUAGAUAUUCAUUUAAAUCUGGAUGGAGGAAGGUACAUAGUCCUACAAAACCAGUAGGAAC